GGACUUCGGUCUGGUGGCGAGUGGCGAACGGGUGAGUAAUGUAUCGGAACGUACCUUUCAGUGGGGGAUAACGUAGCGAAAGUUACGCUAAUACCGCAUAUUCUGUGAGCAGGAAAGCAGGGGAUCGCAAGACCUUGCGCUGAUUGAGCGGCCGAUAUCAGAUUAGCUAGUUGGUGAGGUAAAGGCUCACCAAGGCGACGAUCUGUAGCGGGUCUGAGAGGAUGAUCCGCCACACUGGAACUGAGACACGGUCCAGACUCCUACGGGAGGCAGCAGUGGGGAAUUUUGGACAAUGGGGGCAACCCUGAUCCAGCCAUGCCGCGUGAGUGAAGAAGGCCUUCGGGUUGUAAAGCUCUUUCGGCCGGGAAGAAAUCGCAUGGGUUAAUACCCUGUGCGGAUGACGGUACCGGCAUAAGAAGCACCGGCUAACUACGUGCCAGCAGCCGCGGUAAUACGUAGGGUGCGAGCGUUAAUCGGAAUUACUGGGCGUAAAGCGUGCGCAGGCGGUUUUUUAAGACAGGCGUGAAAUCCCCGGGCUCAACCUGGGAACUGCGCUUGUGACUGGAAGGCUAGAGUAUGGCAGAGGGGGGUGGAAUUCCACGUGUAGCAGUGAAAUGCGUAGAGAUGUGGAGGAACACCAAUGGCGAAGGCAGCCCCCUGGGCCAAUACUGACGCUCAUGCACGAAAGCGUGGGUAGCAAACAGGAUUAGAUACCCUGGUAGUCCACGCCCUAAACGAUGUC
This 742-nucleotide ribosomal RNA is filed under the name uncultured bacterium. RNAcentral's name for it is "bacterial SSU rRNA". It matches the Rfam family "Bacterial small subunit ribosomal RNA", at positions 75 to 813 of the family's 1533-position model. The record is from RNAcentral.